AAGUCGAACGAGAUUUUCUUUGGUGGUAACACCUUUGAACGUCUAGUGGCGAACGGGUGAGUAACACGUGAGGAACCUGCCCUGAAGACGGGGAUAACAGAAGGAAACUUCUGCUAAUACCCGAUACCCCCUCCGGAUCGCAUGGUCUGGAGAGGAAAUGGAUUCCGCUUCAGGAGGGUCUCGCGGCCUAUCAGCUUGUUGGUGGGGUAAUGGCCUACCAAGGCUUGGACGGGUAGCUGGUCUGAGAGGACGAUCAGCCACACUGGGACUGAGACACGGCCCAGACUCCUACGGGAGGCAGCAGUAAGGAAUAUUGCGCAAUGGGCGAAAGCCUGACGCAGCAACGCCGCGUGCGGGAUGAAGGCCCUCGGGUUGUAAACCGCUUUCAGUAGGGAAGAAAAUGACGGUACCUACAGAAGAAGCCCCGGCCAACUACGUGCCAGCAGCCGCGGUAACACGUAGGGGGCGAGCGUUGUCCGGAUUUAUUGGGCGUAAAGAGCUCGUAGGCGGUUUCGUAAGUCGGAUGUGAAAACUCCAGGCUCAACUUGGAGACGCCAUUCGAUACUGCGAUGACUUGAGUCCGGUAGGGGAGUGUGGAAUUCCUGGUGUAGCGGUGAAAUGCGCAGAUAUCAGGAGGAACACCGGCGGCGAAGGCGGCACUCUGGGCCGGUACUGACGCUGAGGAGCGAAAGCGUGGGUAGCAAACAGGAUUAGAUACCCUGGUAGUCCACGCCGUAAACGGUGGGCACUAGGUGUGGGAUUCACUCAACGGGAUUCCGUGCCGCAGCUAACGCAUU
Molecule: ribosomal RNA, 797 nt
Filed under: uncultured Actinomycetes bacterium
Lineage: Bacteria; Bacillati; Actinomycetota; Actinomycetes
Description: bacterial SSU rRNA
Rfam family: Bacterial small subunit ribosomal RNA
Source: RNAcentral